GUUUACAUCAGAUUCUACAGUGAUGAUUGUGCUUCUUCUAGGAAACAGUGCGUCUUUGUGCGGAAAACUGAACGGAGGUGCUUCUUCAUCAGAGCUCCUGAACUUACAGCAGUCGGUCUGUUUCCUCGUUUGUGUUGAUCUGGGUGUGGCGACCUUCUUCUGGUGAUGCAACUGCACAGCUGACAUCCACCAGCAGAAUAUCUACACAAGGACUGGAGUAAACGGAAAAACUGGGAACAGCGGAAAGCAGCCAAUCCUAUCUGGAUCUGGAGCAGAUAAACGUCCAUGACUACUGCAGAGUUAUUUGACGUUAGAGUAAAC
Molecule: long non-coding RNA, 321 nt
Organism: Acanthopagrus latus (yellowfin seabream)
Lineage: Eukaryota; Metazoa; Chordata; Actinopteri; Spariformes; Sparidae
Exons: 3
Source: RefSeq, a predicted model, not a curated record